UACGUAGGUGGCGAGCGUUGUCCGGAUUUACUGGGCGUAAAGGGAGCGUAGGCGGACUUUUAAGUGAGAUGUGAAAUACCCGGGCUCAACUUGGGUGCUGCAUUUCAAACUGGAAGUCUAGAGUGCAGGAGAGGAGAAUGGAAUUCCUAGUGUAGCGGUGAAAUGCGUAGAGAUCAGGAGGAACACCGGCGGCGAAGGCGGCUUUCUGGCUGACAACUGACGCUGAGGCGCGAAAGCGUGGGGAGCAAACAGGAUUAGAUACCCCGGUA
Molecule: ribosomal RNA, 269 nt
Filed under: uncultured prokaryote
Description: partial 16S ribosomal RNA
Rfam family: Bacterial small subunit ribosomal RNA
Source: RNAcentral